GUGCUUGCUUCAGCAGCACAUACACUAAAAUUGGAAUGACAGAGAGAAGAUAAGCAAGGCCCUUGAACAGGAUGACAGGCAAAUUCAUGAAGCGUCCCAUAUUUUU
This is a small nuclear RNA of Equus quagga, 106 nucleotides long. NCBI's taxonomy places the organism in Eukaryota, Metazoa, Chordata, Mammalia, Perissodactyla, Equidae. The record is from RefSeq and is a predicted model, not a curated record.